AACGAACGCUGGCGGCAUGCCUAACACAUGCAAGUCGAACGAGACCUUCGGGUCUAGUGGCGCACGGGUGCGUAACGCGUGGGAACCUGCCCUUAGGUUCGGAAUAACUCCCCGAAAGGGGUGCUAAUACCGGAUAAUGUCUUCGGACCAAAGAUUUAUCGCCUUUGGAUGGGCCCGCGUGGGAUUAGCUAGUUGGUAGGGUAAAAGCCUACCAAGGCGACGAUCCAUAGCUGGUCUGAGAGGAUGGUCAGCCACACUGGGACUGAGACACGGCCCAGACUCCUACGGGAAGCAGCAGUGGGGAAUAUUGGACAGUGGGCGAAAGCCUGAUCCAGCAAUGCCGCGUGAGUGAUGAAGGCCUUAGGGUUGUAAAGCUCUUUUACCCGGGAUGAUAAUGACAGUACCGGGAGAAUAAGCUCCGGCUAACUCCGUG
RNAcentral lists this ribosomal RNA (433 nucleotides) under uncultured bacterium. RNAcentral describes it as "partial 16S ribosomal RNA". It matches the Rfam family "Bacterial small subunit ribosomal RNA", at positions 29 to 507 of the family's 1533-position model. The record is from RNAcentral.